CUAGGCAUCAGGAUAGAUAAUAAUAAGGUAUUUGAGGUAGAUAUGUACAUGAAGGCAGGGUAACGUGACUAGACAUCAGGAUAGAUAAUAAUAAGGUAUUAGAGGUAGAUAUGUACAUGAAGGCAGGGUAAAGUGACUAGACAUCAGGAUAGAUAAUAAUAAGGUAUUAGAGGUAGAUAUGUACAUGAAGGCAGGGUAAAGUGACUAGGCAUCAGGAUAGAUAAUAAUAAGGUAUUAGAGGUAGAUAUGUACAUGAAGGCAGGGUAAAGUGACUAGACAUCAGGAUAGAUAAUAAUAAGGUAUUAGAGGUAGAUAUGUACAUGAAGGCAGGGUAAAGUGACUAGGCAUCAGGAUAGAUAAUAAUAAGGUAUUUGAGGUAGAUAUGUACAUGAAGGCAGGGUAAAGUGACUAGACAUCAGGAUAGAUAAUAAUAAGGUAUUAGAGGUAGAUAUGUACAUGAAGGCAGGGUAAAGUGACUAGGCAUCAGGAUAGAUAAUAAUAAGGUAUUAGAGGUAGAUAUGUACAUGAAGGCAGGGUAAAGUGACUAGACAUCAGGAUAGAUAAUAAUAAGGUAUUAGAGGUAGAUAUGUACAUGAAGGCAGGGUAAAGUGACUAGGCAUCAGGAUAGAUAAUAAUAAGGUAUUUGAGGUAGAUAUGUACAUGAAGGCAGGGUAAAGUGACUAGACAUCAGGAUAGAUAAUAAUAAGGUAUUAGAGGUAGAUAUGUACAUGAAGGCAGGGUAAAGUGACUAGGCAUCAGGAUAGAUAAUAAUAAGGUAUUAGAGGUAGAUAUGUACAUGAAGGCAGGGUAAAGUGACUAGGCAUCAGGAUAGAUAAUAAUAAGGUAUUAGAGGUAGAUAUGUACAUGAAGGCAGGGUAAAGUGACUAGGCAUCAGGAUAGAUAAUAAUAAGGUAUUAGAGGUAGAUAUGUACAUGAAGGCAGGGUAAAGUGACUAGACAUCAGGAUAGAUAAUAAUAAGGUAUUAGAGGUAGAUAUGUACAUGAAGGCAGGGUAAAGUGACUAGACAUCAGGAUAGAUAAUAAUAAGGUAUUAGAGGUAGAUAUGUACAUGAAGGCAGGGUAACGUGACUAGACAUCAGGAUAGAUAAUAAUAAGGUAUUAGAGGUAGAUAUGUACAUGAAGGCAGGGUAAAGUGACUAGGCAUCAGGAUAGAUAAUAAUAAGGUAUUAGAGGUAGAUAUGUACAUGAAGGCAGGGUAACGUAAUAAUAUGAGUAAAACAAAGAACCGAGUAGUAGCAGCAGCCGCUCAAGAUUGUGU
Long non-coding RNA from Oncorhynchus keta (chum salmon), 1278 nucleotides. RefSeq lists it as uncharacterized. NCBI's taxonomy places the organism in Eukaryota, Metazoa, Chordata, Actinopteri, Salmoniformes, Salmonidae. The transcript is spliced from 6 exons. The record is from RefSeq and is a predicted model, not a curated record.